RNAcentral lists this ribosomal RNA (427 nucleotides) under uncultured bacterium. RNAcentral's name for it is "partial 16S ribosomal RNA". It matches the Rfam family "Bacterial small subunit ribosomal RNA", at positions 355 to 774 of the family's 1533-position model. The record is from RNAcentral.
UGGGGAAUAUUGGACAAUGGGCGAAAGCCUGAUCCAGCCAUGCCGCGUGUGUGAAGAAGGUCUUCGGAUUGUAAAGCACUUUAAGUUGGGAGGAAGGGCAGUAAGCUAAUACCUUGCUGUUUUGACGUUACCGACAGAAUAAGCACCGGCUAACUCUGUGCCAGCAGCCGCGGUAAUACAGAGGGUGCAAGCGUUAAUCGGAAUUACUGGGCGUAAAGCGCGCGUAGGUGGUUUGUAAAGUUGGAUGUGAAAGCCCCGGGCUCAACCUGGGAACUGCAUCCAAAACUGGCAAGCUAGAGUACGGUAGAGGGUGGUGGAAUUUCCUGUGUAGCGGUGAAAUGCGUAGAUAUAGGAAGGAACACCAGUGGCGAAGGCGACCACCUGGACUGAUACUGACACUGAGGUGCGAAAGCGUGGGGAGCAAACA